Molecule: ribosomal RNA, 253 nt
Filed under: uncultured bacterium
Lineage: Bacteria
Description: partial 16S ribosomal RNA
Rfam family: Bacterial small subunit ribosomal RNA
Source: RNAcentral
UACGUAGGGUGCAAGCGUUGUCCGGAAUUAUUGGGCGUAAAGAGCUCGUAGGCGGUCUGUCGCGUCUGCUGUGAAAACUCAGGGCUUAACCCUGAGCUUGCAGUGGGUACGGGCAGACUAGAGUGCGGUAGGGGGGACUGGAAUUCCUGGUGUAGCGGUGAAAUGCGCAGAUAUCAGGAGGAACACCGGUGGCGAAGGCGGGUCUCUGGGCCGUAACUGACGCUGAGGAGCGAAAGCAUGGGGAGCGAACAGG